CCUACGGGUGGCUGCAGUGGGGAAUUUUGGACAAUGGGCGCAAGCCUGAUCCAGCCAUUCCGCGUGAGUGAAGAAGGCCUUCGGGUUGUAAAGCUCUUUCGCAAGGGAAGAAAACUUAUCCUCUAACAUAGGAUGAGGUUGACGGUACCUUGAUAAGAAGCACCGGCUAACGACGUGCCAGCAGCCGCGGUAAUACGUAGGGUGCGAGCGGGAAUCGGAAUGAGUGGGGGCAGUUUUGUAGCAGAGAUGUGAAAUCCCCGAGCUCAACUUGGGAACUGCGUUUGAAACUACAAGACUAGAAUAGGUCAGAGGGGGGUAGAAUUCCACGUGUAGCAGUGAAAUGCGUAGAGAUGUGGAGGAAUAUCAAUGGCGAAGGCAGCCCCCUGGGAUCAUAUUGACGCUCAUGCACGAAAGCGUGGGGAGCAAACAGGAUUAGACACCCGGGUAGUC
Molecule: ribosomal RNA, 450 nt
Filed under: uncultured bacterium
Lineage: Bacteria
Description: partial 16S ribosomal RNA
Rfam family: Bacterial small subunit ribosomal RNA
Source: RNAcentral